CGACGCUGGCGGCGUGCCUAAUACAUGCAAGUCGAGCGCAGGAAGCCGUCUGCAACCCUUCGGGGGGACGACGGUGGAAUGAGCGGCGGACGGGUGAGUAACACGUAAAGAACCUGCCCAUAGGUCUGGGAUAACCACGAGAAAUCGGGGCUAAUACCGGAUGUGUCAUCGGACCGCAUGGUCCGCUGAUGAAAGGCGCUCCGGCGUCGCCCAUGGAUGGCUUUGCGGUGCAUUAGCUAGUUGGUGGGGUAACGGCCCACCAAGGCGACGAUGCAUAGCCGACCUGAGAGGGUGAUCGGCCACACUGGGACUGAGACACGGCCCAGACUCCUACGGGAGGCAGCAGUAGGGAAUCUUCCACAAUGGACGAAAGUCUGAUGGAGCAACGCCGCGUGAACGAUGAAGGCUUUCGGGUCGUAAAGUUCUGUUGUAAGGGAAGAACAAGUGCCGCAGGCAAUGGCGGCACCUUGACGGUACCUUGCGAGAAAGCCACGGCUAACUACGUGCCAGCAGCCGCGGUAAUACGUAGGUGGCAAGCGUUGUCCGGAAUUAUUGGGCGUAAAGCGCGCGCUCGCGGCCUCUUA
Molecule: ribosomal RNA, 584 nt
Filed under: Exiguobacterium profundum
Lineage: Bacteria; Bacillati; Bacillota; Bacilli; Caryophanales
Description: bacterial SSU rRNA
Rfam family: Bacterial small subunit ribosomal RNA
Source: RNAcentral